Molecule: ribosomal RNA, 282 nt
Filed under: Gekko yakuensis
Lineage: Eukaryota; Metazoa; Chordata; Lepidosauria; Squamata; Gekkonidae
Description: partial 16S ribosomal RNA
Source: RNAcentral
CUUAAAGACUAGCCUGCACAUCACAUCAUAAAUUACUCCACACAAAUCAAACCAUUUGACAAACCAAGUAUAUGAGAUAGAACCGUACCUCCAGCGCAAUAGCCUAAACCGUACCACAAGGGAACCAUGAAAGACAACUAAACAAAUCAAGCACGACACAGCAGGAGUGAUACCCCGUACCUUUUGCAUCAUGAUUUAGCCAGCCAUCUACCCACAAAGUGCCCUAUGCUGGUCACCCCGAAACCAGACGAGCUACCUAAAAGCAAUCACCAAGGAUCAACC